AGAAGCUUCUAAACCCAGACAGAAUAUGC
Molecule: non-coding RNA, 29 nt
Filed under: Mus musculus (house mouse)
Lineage: Eukaryota; Metazoa; Chordata; Mammalia; Rodentia; Muridae
Source: RNAcentral